RNAcentral lists this unclassified non-coding RNA (245 nucleotides) under Stagonospora sp. RNAcentral's name for it is "partial contains 5.8S ribosomal RNA, internal transcribed spacer 2, and large subunit ribosomal RNA". Lineage: Eukaryota; Fungi; Ascomycota; Dothideomycetes; Pleosporales; Massarinaceae. The record is from RNAcentral.
CGCACAUUGCGCCCCUCGGUAUUCCGUGGGGCAUGCCUGUUCGAGCGUCAUUUACACCCUCAAGCUCUGCUUGGUGUUGGGCGUCUGUCCCGCUUCACGCGUGGACUCGCCCCAAAGUCAUUGGCAGCGGUCGUGCCAGCUUCUCGCGCAGCACAUUUGCGUUUCUCGAAGCUUGGUGGAUCAGCAUCCAGUAAGUUACUUCAUGACUUGACCUCGGAUCAGGUAGGGAUACCCGCUGAACUUAA